UGUGGAAUGAUGGUACAGAGACAGAAAGUUGAUGGGAUGACCCAAACAGGUUCCCUAAUGCUAAAUGUGGGUAAAGCCACUCAGCCAAGUAAGCUCUUCCUGAAAUUUGCUCUUUGUUUGUAUUGCAGUAUUUUAGACUCUACAUACUGGGAAGAAAAAGGGUUAUUUUUCUCCCAUCAUGUUACCAAAAUGAAUGCGCAAUCAUGGAUUAUUACGAUAGAAGUUUGGUGAAAAACAGUUCGCUCCUUUCUGAAUUGCAACAAGUUCUGUCUUCCUCAGCCCACCACGUUCUGCCAUCAGAUGUCUUUGGGAUCCUCAGAUGUCUCCCAGGUAUCCUCUGCUGCCUCCUUCCUCCACAGAGGAAGCGGUCUCCUUCCUCCACUUCCUACUGAAAUGUGGCAUACGAGCAGCGAACAGACAAAUUAGAUAUGCCCUGCCUACUCAGUGAGAGAGGAAGGGGGUUAGUUGGUCAGUUAUUCCAGAUGGUGUUAUGAGUAUGUUUUAUUGUUUUGUAACAGUUGCAGUUGGCAAAACCACAUGCUUUUCUUCUUGACAAAGGGAAAUUGUUAAUAACACACUUGUCACAAGAAGGCCACACUAGGCCCGCAGAAACUGUCAUGGCUGCCUGCAGGCAGCCAGCUCCUCUGCCAGGUGAGUGGUGCUUCCAAAGUGGUGUUGCUGUUCCCCUGGUGACAUGUUUUCAUCCCAGUGACCGCAUAACAUGCACUGCCCCUAAAUGAGGCUAUAUGCCUACAGUUGUUGGAGUGCAUCUUUAAUUUCAUAAUCUCUAGUCUGACAGAAUAGACUCAGGGGAGUUGCACUGAUAUGAAAUGAGCUUUGUUUAACUACCCAUGCCUAAUUGCAGAUCACUCACUGCAGGGUUUCUUCAGGAAGAGACACCGUAAACCACUUUGAAAAUCCAAGUACAAAGGCUUGCAGUAGAAAUGCCAAAGAUCUAUGCUGCCACCCUAUAGCACUGGGUUGUUGGGUGAUGUGGCUUUCCACAGUACCAGUGUCCCCCCAGACUGGUCUGUGACACAGGAAGGGAGAGGGGCUGACUGGCUUCUCACAGAGAGUAGGAAUCCACAGCUGCUGACAGAAAGAGUUUUUUUUUUUUUUAAAUGAUGAGUGUGAGUUAGGGGAAGCAAAGGGAAGGCAGUUGUUCUCCUGGCAAACUGGAGCCUAACAUGUUUUAAUGAAUGAAGAAAUAUGUUAUGCAAACCUUUAGAAAGAGAAAUGUUUCAAACUGAGCUGUAGGCACAGGGUCACACAGGGCAUAGGACUGAAAGGGUUCAGUCCCUUCAGCACCUAGCAUGACAGUUAAAUUGGUUAAACUAAGCCGGCAUCUUCCUCAGGAGGAGUGAGGCUAGAAACAAACCAAUUAGGCAGGGUGACAGUGGUGGACUGGUGAUAAGCCUGUUACAUUUUUGGCCAGGUGAGAUGAAUUAGGGAUUUGAGAGGAAGAAGUUAAACUGAGAACUGAUGUAGCUGUACCUGUUGGUUUUUUCCCCUUCUUGUUGUUUGUUUUAGCAGAAUGACUUGCUUAAUUUUCAUUCAGCAAUAGUCCCUUAAGAAUUCAUUUAUCCAUUCAUAAAUCAGAACUUUUCUGUAACUGGAUUUAACUCACAAAUCUAAUGAAACUGUCAGGUAUCACACGUACAGUGGCAGAUGUUUAAAGUGGACUAUUCGUGGGAUUUGUGUAGGGAAGGGAGAUGGCAUCCAUAAAUGCAUUGGUGCUGUUUUCUCAGAGAAAUGGAAAUUGUCUUUGGAGUCCUUGAGUUAGAGCAUCUGUCAGGGUGAUAUGGCAAGAAGGAUCAGGAGAGCCACUGUGUUGUGACUGGCUGACCUAAGCUGUCCUUUGGUUGUUUACUGGUUCUGCUGGACCCAGGACUGCUCUGCUUUAUCCCAGGGUCUUCUACUGGUACUUAAAGGAGGGUAAAAAAUAGUUCAUUCUCUUCACCUCUGUUCAGCUAAUUAAUUCUAUGUUUCUCUGAAUAAAGUAAUUGAGAGUUUCUGUUGUACA
Molecule: long non-coding RNA, 2023 nt
Filed under: Anas platyrhynchos platyrhynchos (common mallard)
Lineage: Eukaryota; Metazoa; Chordata; Aves; Anseriformes; Anatidae
Description: lncRNA (ENSAPLG00000021652.1)
Source: RNAcentral